CAGAACGCGGAGAACAGCGAGGCUGCAGAAGGAGACGACGAUGAACUUGAAGGCCAUGAAGCUUAGAGCGAAGAUGUUGAUUAAAUUGUACAUUGAAUUGUUUUCACCAACGUACAGGCUUCCUAUGUUUGCAAAGCACAGCAGCCAAACACAUCCGAUGGAGACGUUUCUGACUCUGAUCCACUUCUGGUUCUUCAGGCCCAGGUAGGUGACGGGGUGAACGACGGCCAGGUAGCGCUCCACACAGGUCAGAGUGUGAAACAGCUGCUGGCCCAAAAAGUUCACUGAUAAAAAGCAUACACCCACCGUGACCAUUCCUGUGAGACGGGUGAGGACGCCGCAACAGCAUAAAAGGUACCCUACGAUAUUCAUCAGCUCGAUGGCGACCAUGUGGAAGGUGAAGACGUCGGAGUGGCUCGCCGCCGUGCCGGAGCGCCGUUGUUUGAGUCCCAGGUAGACGACGUAGACGCAGGGAGGGAGGACCAGCAGGAGGCUGCAGACGGUGAAAGCGGUGAUGCUGGAGGCGCCGGCUGGACUUCUGUAGCACUUCUGCAGGAAUUCAAAGAUAUUGAUGGAGGAAGAGUUGGAAGGAGGAAACGAGGAAGAGGAGAUGACUGACAUGACUGGGGGCAAGAGGGAUGAGUAGAAUGAAUAAGAAGAAGAUGGGAGAGGGAAACAGUGAGAUCAUUUUAUGGUGACAGAGAAUGGCGACAAAACGCAUAUCAUAGUUGAACGCAUAUUCACAUUCAAAUCAAUGAAGCAGGGCGGUCAGAGCGUUGGUCAUUUCAGUGGGCGAACUUCUGUAAAAAAUAUACAGACUUACGCAAACUCGUGGACUACCUGACGAGAGGAUUUCCAGUAAAAGCAAAAAUUGCAUUAACGAUUGGAAUAUAAAACAUGAGAGCAUGAAAACAUGGCACAGAAACUAAAACCCACAAUCACACAUUUGUACCUGUGAUGCAUCUGACAAAAAUCUGUGCGACCUACUUCUUAGAAUACGUAUAAUAUCUGACAAGAACCGCAGAUGAUUAAUCCGGUCCUAUAAGUUUCAUAAUAGUAGUGAGCAGUGUUUUUAUUUACCUGCCAAAGGAACAUUGUUUGGCCGUUGGCUUUAUUUUUUUAUGUGAUGACAAAUAACAUUGAAUAAAAUACAAAGAUACUCACUUUGACGGCUGAUUUUAGAUCGCACACUUUCUGACCUUCUGUCCUUUGUGUGUCUGGACUUAUAACUGAUGUGAUGCUUUGCAGAAAAAACCCAACACAUUUGAAUCUGUGUGUGUGUGUUUUGCAUGUUUUAAAACCCGUAAGCAGAUCCAGAAUCAGCGCUUUGCUGUAAGACCUUUAUAAAAUGUCUGUUAUGUACCAUCUACUUUUACACUUGGAAUGUGUGAAUUAGUGUAGAAUUUGCUUAUUUUACACUCUAGCAACAAAAUCUCCAACUUAGAUACAUAAUGUAAAGUGAAGACAAAGAAUCUCCAGGUCUGCUGUUGCUUACAUUUACAUACAUUGAAUAAAAGACCCUCUAUAUUUUCUAAGAAACCUGUUUUCAUCAGACGCAGGUGAAAAACAGCAUUAAAACACAGAUGUUCAUUGUCAAUGUCUUCAUUAUGAGUAGUUCUGGUUGUGAGAAAUUUGCUUAUUCACCUCAUCUUUCACCAAGAUGUUGUUUGACAGGAUUCAAAUGAGCUGUGACUAAAAAUCCUUCAAUUAUUCAAAUCAAACACCGUCCGUCUCAGUGUGUCACUUGUUAUUUUAAGACCUAAACGAGCUACAAGAUCAACUUUGGUCCAGUAUUUUGCUAAUCACAGUUGGAUAUUUUAUUUAGUCUACCACAAUUUGUCAAUUAUUAUUAGUAUUUGGUUAGAUUAGCUAAUUCCGCUGGUCUGUAUGUAGACGUCUACCAACAAGGAGACAAGAAAUGCAGAAUAAAAUAAUUUAAAAAAAAGAUAAUGCUUGAGCACUACAACACAAAAUAUCCACAAAGAGAUUUAAAACUACCAAAAUGAGCACAGAAAUGGUAUUUUCUGCGGAUUUUAACCUCAUCUGUUGCUGUUCUUACAAAACAGGAGUUUUCCUGCCCGGUGUAGAAAGAGCAGAGGCAACACCAGGCUGCCCGGCAGAGACGACCACCAUGUCAACAACCACGCCGUACACUUCUCAGACUCAAGAUGCAGAUGGUUAAAUGAUGCACAGUAAACCGCAGUCCCCCCAGACCUCACCAACAGCACCCCCACUAUGACCAGGAUGGUGUAGAACGCUCUCUUCUCUGCUCGGUCGACCCGCUGUCCGGCCAGGAGACGAUGAUGAAGAUGAAGGCCAAAGAAUAAUAAUAAAUAAAAGAAAAUGUUGAUUGAAUUUGAUUCCACCACGUAUAGGGAACCUAUAUUUGCAAAGCAGUGCAGGCAAACGAAUCCGAUGGAGACGUUUCUGACUCUGAUCCACUUCUGGUUCUUCAGGCCCAGGUAGGUGACGGGGUGAACGACGGCCAGGUAGCGCUCCACACAGGUCAGAGUGUGAAACAGCUGCUGGCCACUUGCGUUCACUGAUAAAAAGCAUACACCCACCAUGACCAUUUCUGUGAGACGGGUGAGGACGCCGCAACUGCAUAAAAGGUUCCCUACGAUAUUCAUCAGCUCGAUGGCGACCAUGUGGAAGGUGAAGACGUCGGAGUGGCUCGCCGCCGUGCCGGAGCGCCGUUGUUUGAGUCCCAGGUAGACGACGUAGACGCAGGGAGGGAGGACCAGCAGGAGGCUGCAGACGGUGAAAGCGAUCAUGCUGGAGGCGCCGGCUGGACUUCUGUAGCAGUUCUGCAGGAAUUCAAUGACAUUGAUGGAGGAAGAGUUGGAAGGAGAAAACGAGGAAGAGGAAUUGACUGACAUGACUGGGGGCAAGAGUCAGGGACAGAGAGGAUAAGAGAGAAAGAUAAGACACAAUCUUAACAAAAGGUCCUUUUAAACGUCCUCAUCUUACGCACUCUUUAAGCUAAACACACUCUUCCAACAGGUAGAUUUAUUGAUCAAAAUCAUCACAACAUGAAGGUAGGUAUCUUCUACAGAAUUACCUUUCACAUUUGUUUUUGAUUGAACAAGAAUAUUAUUGACAGAUAUAACAUUCGUACUUUAAAAUCAGGUAAUGAAGCAUUUAAAAAAAACAAAUGAAGAACAAUAUCUUAUGAAGAGUGUAAACUAACCGCCAUUAUUCGUAACAGAUGUCACUCUAAUGAAUUAAACUGAUCGAAUUUCCACCAUGAAAAUACACCUACUUUCUUUGCAGUUUUUGAUUGUGAUCCUUCUGAUAUUCUGUCCGCUGUGUCUCUGGCCUGUGGACUGGUGGACUGUCGCCGGCUGCAGCGUAAAUGUGCGUCUGUGUGUGAAUGUUUUGCAUAUCACGUAACCCGAGAAUUGCUCCAACAGGGGGAGCUGCUUCUGAACCUCGGCCCUCAGAUUUACAGGUGCUGAUCCGCAUCCCGACUGCUUCACACUGGUCUGUGACCUCCAGUGAGAGUUGGAGAUGCCAUUAGGACCACACCAUCUGCAUAAAGCAGCGAUGAGAACGGUGAAGCCUCCCCCUCAUCCCCCCGACUACGCCCCAAUAUCCAUGUAAACCACAAACCGGACUAGUGACAAGGUGCCGGCCUGGCGAAGGCCGACGCCCACCGGAAACGACUCCGACUGACGGCUUCCUGUCUGUACUGGGUGUGCUGGGAUUGGACGGCCCCUUGGACUGGGUUUGGCAUGUUAGCAUGCUAACACUUACUAGCCUAAAAAAAUCUAGACUUCAUAAGUUUGAUGAAAGCAGCAUUUCAACACAUAUUAAACAGCAUGUUCACUUGGCAGGGCUGUUUAUUCAUUGAUUGGUUAUUCGGCAUAUGAUUCAUCAGAAUUACAUGAAAAUACACUUAAUUUGGAUAACAAACUCUCU
Gasterosteus aculeatus aculeatus (three-spined stickleback) is the source of this 3921-nucleotide long non-coding RNA. The record is from Ensembl. NCBI's taxonomy places the organism in Eukaryota, Metazoa, Chordata, Actinopteri, Perciformes, Gasterosteidae.